RNAcentral lists this ribosomal RNA (423 nucleotides) under uncultured bacterium. RNAcentral describes it as "bacterial SSU rRNA". It matches the Rfam family "Bacterial small subunit ribosomal RNA", at positions 360 to 774 of the family's 1533-position model. The record is from RNAcentral.
AAUUGUUCGCAAUGGGCGCAAGCCUGACGACGCAACGCCGCGUGGAGGAUGAAGAUCUUCGGGUCGUAAACUCCUGUCGAGCGGGACGAAUGCUUUGCGGCUGAAUAAUCCGCAGAGGUGACGGUACCGCUAAAGGAAGCCCCGGCUAACUCCGUGCCAGCAGCCGCGGUAAUACGGGGGGGGCAAGCGUUGUUCGGAAUUACUGGGCGUAAAGGGCUCGUAGGCGGCCAACUAAGUCACACGUGAAAUCCCUCGGCUCAACCGGGGAACUGCGUGUGAUACUGGCGGGCUUGAAUUCGGGAGAGGGAUGUGGAAUUCCAGGUGUAGCGGUGAAAUGCGUAGAUAUCUGGAGGAACACCGGUGGCGAAGGCGGCAUCCUGGACCGAGAUUGACGCUGAGGCGCGAAAGCUAGGGUAGCAAACG